AUUGAACGCUGGCGGCAUGCCUUACACAUGCAAGUCGAACGGCAGCACGGGUGCUUGCACCUGGUGGCGAGUGGCGAACGGGUGAGUAAUACAUCGGAACGUACCUUAUCGUGGGGGAUAGCGCAGCGAAAGCUGUGCUAAUACCGCAUACGCCCUGAGGGGGAAAGCGGGGGAUCGCAAGACCUCGCGCGAUUAGAGCGGCCGAUGCCUGAUUAGCUUGUUGGUGGGGUAAAAGCCCACCAAGGCGACGAUCAGUAGCUGGUCUGAGAGGACGAUCAGCCACACUGGGACUGAGACACGGCCCAGACUCCUACGGGAGGCAGCAGUGGGGAAUUUUGGACAAUGGGGGCAGCCCUGAUCCAGCAAUGCCGCGUGAGUGAAGAAGGCCUUCGGGUUGUAAAGCUCUUUUGUCAGGGAAGAAACACCGGCUCUAACACAGUCCGGGAAUGACGGUACCUGAAGAAUAAGCACCGGCUAACUACGUGCCAGCCGCCGCAGUAA
This 501-nucleotide ribosomal RNA is filed under the name uncultured bacterium. Its description in RNAcentral is "partial 16S ribosomal RNA". It matches the Rfam family "Bacterial small subunit ribosomal RNA", at positions 29 to 523 of the family's 1533-position model. The record is from RNAcentral.